UUGUGGCUAUCUGCCUUUUUAAGUACACACGCCCGAUACAGUAAAACUGUGAAUGGCUCAUUAAAUCACUUAUGGUUUUUUUGAUUGCUUCAUCUGGUACUUGGAUAACUGUGGUAAUUCUACAUGAAGAUGAGUUUAGACCUCUCGGAAUACAUGCAUUUAUCAGACUCGCCCGGCCUUUUUGGUGACUCCAGAUAUACUCAGGCCAAUUGCACGUCCCUGUGACUGGGAAGAUACAUUCGGAUGUCUGCCCUAUCAACGUUCAAUGGUACUUUCUGUGUCUACCAUGGUGACCACGGUUAACAGGAAUCAGGGUUCGAUUCCGGAGAGGUAGCCUGAAAAAUGGCUACCACAUCCAGGGAAGGUAGCAGGUGUGUAAAUUACCCACUCAGGGAGGUAGUGACGAAAAAUAACAAUACAGGACUCUUUCGAGGCUCUGUAAUUGGAAUGAGUACACUUUCAAUCGUUUAACAAGGAUCCAUUGGAGGGCAGGUCUGGUGCCAGCAGCCACAGUAAUUCCAGCUCCAACAGCGUAUAUUAAAGUUGCUGCUGUUCAAAAGCUUGCAGUUGGAUCUUGGGAUCAAGCUGGUGGUCCGCCGCGAGGUGAGCUACUGCCUGUACCAGCCCCUGCCUCUCGGCACACCCUUGAUGCUCUUGACUGAGUGUCCUGUGGUCCGAAGCGUUUACUAUGAAAAAAUUGGAGUAUUCAAAGCAGGCCGUUUGCCUGAAUACUUCAGCUAGGAAUAAUGGAAUAGGUCUCUGGUUCUAUUUUGUUGUUUUUUGGAACUGGACCAUGAGUAGGAAGAAUGGCUGGGGACAUUUGUAUUGUGCAGCUGGAGGUGAAAUUCUUAGACCGGCGCAAGACGAACCAAAGCGAAAGCAUUUGCCAAGAAUGUUUUCAUUAAUCAAGAAAGAAUGUUAGAGAUUCAAAGAUGAUCAGAUACCAUUGUGGUUCAGAGCAUAAAUGAUGCUGACUAGCGAUCCAGCAGCAUUAUGCUCAAUACCUUCCAAGCAGCUUCCGAGAAACCUAAGUCUAUCCAUUCCGGGGGAGUAUGGUUGCAAAGCUGAAACUUAAGGGGAUUGAUGGAAGGGCACCUCCACUAGUGGAGCCUGCAGCUUAAUUUGAUUCAACACAGGAAAUCCCACCUGUGCCGGACAUGUAAAGUAUUGACAGAUUGAUGGCUUUUUCUCGAUUCUGUGGGUGGUGGUGCAUGGCCGUUAAUAGUUGGUGGAGAGAUUUGUCUGUUUAAUUAUGAUAAAGAACGCAACUCCUACAUUAGUUACAUGACUCUCGGCGGUCAACUUAGCAUUUUGCCACAUGAGAGAGCAAUACCACAUCUGUGAUGCCCUUAGAUGUCCAGGGCUGCACAUGCGCUACACUGAACAGAUCAGCCUGUGUCUACUGUGAUGAAUCUGAUGGAGUCAUCACUUCUCUUCCAGAGGUAGCCUCUCCCAAUGCAGCCAGGGGACGGCAGCCGCUACCUGAUCCUGACCCUGGGGGUGGCUAAAUGACAGAGGCUCACAUGGUGGGAGUGUGAGAAACCUGAAGGUGUCUCACUC
Molecule: ribosomal RNA, 1560 nt
Filed under: Ambystoma mexicanum (axolotl)
Lineage: Eukaryota; Metazoa; Chordata; Amphibia; Caudata; Ambystomatidae
Description: SSU rRNA
Rfam family: Eukaryotic small subunit ribosomal RNA
Source: RNAcentral